UUUAAGUGCAGUUAUGGGUUUUCGUGUCCAACGUUUGACUCUCUGUCUUAUUUAAAUUUUUUUAUGAUAAAUGUUAUUAUUAUUAUUAUUAUUAGAUGAUAUAACAUGGAUAGUACUUUAUACGUAACUUAUUUUCUAAUUUCUUUUAUAAAAAUUUUAAAUAAAACAAAUGGUUAAACGUUAGAUAGAAAACUCACUGCUGCACUUAAA
Oryza meridionalis is the source of this 210-nucleotide non-coding RNA. Lineage: Eukaryota; Viridiplantae; Streptophyta; Magnoliopsida; Poales; Poaceae. The record is from Rfam.